GAUGAACGCUGGCGGCGUGCCUAAUACAUGCAAGUCGAGCGAACGGACGAGAAGCUUGCUUCUCUGAUGUUAGCGGCGGACGGGUGAGUAACACGUGGAUAACCUACCUAUAAGACUGGGAUAACUUCGGGAAACCGGAGCUAAUACCGGAUAAUAUUUUGAACCGCAUGGUUCAAAAGUGAAAGACGGUCUUGCUGUCACUUAUAGAUGGAUCCGCGCUGCAUUAGCUAGUUGGUAAGGUAACGGGUUACCAAGGCAACGAUGCAUAGCCGACCUGAGAGGCGGAUAGGCCACACUGGAACUGAGACACGGUCCAGACUCCUACGGGAGGCAGCAGUAGGGAAUCUUCCGCAAUGGGCGAAAGCCUGACGGAGCAACGCCGCGUGAGUGAUGAAGGUCUUCGGAUCGUAAAACUCUGUUAUUAGGGAAGAACAUAUGUGUAAGUAACUGUGCACAUCUUGACGGUACCUAAUCAGAAAGCCACGGCUAACUACGUG
RNAcentral lists this ribosomal RNA (497 nucleotides) under uncultured bacterium. RNAcentral's name for it is "partial 16S ribosomal RNA". It matches the Rfam family "Bacterial small subunit ribosomal RNA", at positions 28 to 507 of the family's 1533-position model. The record is from RNAcentral.